UGUUUGAUAAGUGAAAGGCUGCAUUAGCAUCUGAAGUUCUUAACUUUGCACUUCUAGUGAAUCUUCUCAUGUGAACAUACCAUUCUGCAUGAAACUGAAAACAAUAUGUUUUAUUAGGAGCUCCCUGAGUUGUUUAUGUGUCAACACAUGUUUCCAUGUGGUUAAGAAUUAUUUACUUUUGUUGCUGGUUCCUCAUAUAUUGGGAUACAAGUAAAAACAUCCAACUAGUAUUUCUUCAACUUUUAUCACCCUGUAGAGACCCCUAAUGUAGAACCAGGAGUGAAUCCUUCAUCAUGCCUCCAGACAACCUACUAACAGUGACCUACAACAAUAACAGCAACGACAACGACAACAACAACAUUAAUUUUAUUAUACAAGAAGAAGAGUUAUGGUAACAUUUGCGGAUAACAAAAUGUUGGUAGAGAAAAUUUCAGUUUGAGCGUGCUACAGAUGCUUCUCAUCGAGUUGUUCAAUUUCCUCUUAAUUUGUAAUGGAUCAGUGGGGGUACCAGACCAAUACUUUAGUUUGACGGUGCUUUUGUUGAACAUUGAACAAUCUAAUCCGGUGGAUGUAUGAACUUUUGCAUGAACUAAGUGGAUUCAUUAAGUUAGAACUACGGGAGUACGGGACCAGCACUUUACCAAUUCGGCACGCUCAAGAGUUCAGUUAGGCAGAAUCCCACAAACAAAGUAGGUAGAGGUUUGCAGGGGGGGCAAGGGCGGAAGGAGGAUAAGGUUCACCUGCGCGGCGGCCGGCGGCGAGCACGGCCGCGGACACGGAGAGAGUCGCAGAGUGGAUGGGGUCCGGUGGUGGCCCAACGCAGUGUGGUGGAGGAGCGCCGGAGAAACGCACCCUUCGGCACGGCUGGUGACUGGAACUGG
Molecule: long non-coding RNA, 881 nt
Filed under: Oryza brachyantha (malo sina)
Lineage: Eukaryota; Viridiplantae; Streptophyta; Magnoliopsida; Poales; Poaceae
Description: long non-coding RNA (OBRA_LNC000205)
Source: RNAcentral